CAAACAAGUGUUUAUGGCACUUUUAAACAAUCCAUAUCCACCUUGUGUGCAACGUUUGAAUUCGAUCCGCACGCGCUCUCCUUUAAUGCGAAAGCGUGUGUGGGGAAGGAUUCUCAACACCAUUAACAUGUCUUGAACUAGUUUGUCUGAAUGAACGUAUCAUGAAUUACUUAAUUCGAAAUA
RNAcentral lists this unclassified non-coding RNA (183 nucleotides) under uncultured Mortierellomycotina. RNAcentral's name for it is "sequence contains ITS1". Lineage: Eukaryota; Fungi; Mortierellomycota. The record is from RNAcentral.